GAAGCACAGCGAUUUCCUUAGUAGCGGCGAGCGAACCGGAAUUAGCCCAACUUGAAAAUCUGCCUUUGCAGAAUUGUAGUCUAUAGAAACGCCCUCUGUGGCGGCAGGAGCCUAAGUCCUCUGGAAAGGGGCGUCAGAGAGGGUGAGAACCCCGUCGGCUCUUCGCUUAGCCACUCCACGAGGUGUUUUCCACGAGUCGGGUUGUUUGAGAAUGCAGCCCAAAAUGGGAGGUAAAUCCCUCCUAAGGCUAAAUACUGACGAGAGACCGAUAGCGAACAAGUACCGUGAGGGAAAGAUGAAAAGAACUUUGAAAAGAGAGUUAAAAAGUGCUUGAAAUUGUUGAGAGGGAAGCGAUUGGAGGCUGUGGGUGCGCCUAGGCUUAUGUCUCUCUGACGAGGGGCUGUAUGUGCUAGGUGCUGGUCAGCAUGGGUUAGUCUGGCGGGAUAACAGCGGGGGUUGAUACUCCGUCUAUGCCGCCGGGCUGACCAAGGUGUGAACGGCGCUCUGUCCCUCGGGAACUGCGUUGUCAAGAUGCUGGCAGAAGGCUUUCAAUCGACCCGUCUUGAAACCGGGAA
This 575-nucleotide ribosomal RNA is filed under the name Brachiomonas submarina. Its description in RNAcentral is "eukaryotic LSU rRNA". It matches the Rfam family "Eukaryotic large subunit ribosomal RNA", at positions 56 to 664 of the family's 3401-position model. Lineage: Eukaryota; Viridiplantae; Chlorophyta; Chlorophyceae; Chlamydomonadales; Chlamydomonadaceae. The record is from RNAcentral.